CCUACGGGAGGCAGCAGUGGGGAAUUUUGGACAAUGGGCGCAAGCCUGAUCCAGCAAUGCCGCGUGAGUGAAGAAGGCCUUCGGGUUGUAAAGCUCUUUUGUCAGGGAAGAAACGGUGGUUCCUAAUACGGACUACUAAUGACGGUACCUGAAGAAUAAGCACCGGCUAACUACGUGCCAGCAGCCGCGGUAAUACGUAGGGUGCAAGCGUUAAUCGGAAUUACUGGGCGUAAAGCGUGCGCAGGCGGUUAUAUAAGUCAGAUGUGAAAUCCCCGGGCUCAACCUGGGAACUGCAUUUGAGACUGUAUGGCUAGAGUGUGUCAGAGGGGGGUAGAAUUCCACGUGUAGCAGUGAAAUGCGUAGAUAUGUGGAGGAAUACCGAUGGCGAAGGCAGCCCCCUGGGAUAACACUGACGCUCAUGCACGAAAGCGUGGGGAGCAAACAGGAUUAGAUACCCUGGUAGUCCACGCCCUAAACGAUGUCUACUAGUUGUCGGGACUUAAUUGUCUUGGUAACGCAGCUAACGCGUGAAGUAGACCGCCUGGGGAGUACGGUCGCAAGAUUAAAACUCAAAUGAAUUGACGG
Molecule: ribosomal RNA, 585 nt
Filed under: uncultured bacterium
Lineage: Bacteria
Description: bacterial SSU rRNA
Rfam family: Bacterial small subunit ribosomal RNA
Source: RNAcentral